Molecule: unclassified non-coding RNA, 226 nt
Filed under: Hevea brasiliensis (rubber tree)
Lineage: Eukaryota; Viridiplantae; Streptophyta; Magnoliopsida; Malpighiales; Euphorbiaceae
Source: RNAcentral
AAAUAUUCUUGAAAAGGUAGAGGGAAAAAUGAGAAGAAAAGAUUGCAUUGGGUUAAAUAUCUGGGUGGGACCUCACCCAUAGCAGUUGAGUUCGGUUAAAUUUAGUUUCAGUUUAUUCCUCAAGAACAGAUCCUUCAUUGAAAUUCAAUACAACAGCAUAAGCAUCCAGAACAUGCAGUUGACACAUGCAUGGCUUUUGGUGAAGAGAAUCUAGCCAAUAGAGGCA